This 919-nucleotide ribosomal RNA is filed under the name uncultured bacterium. RNAcentral describes it as "bacterial SSU rRNA". It matches the Rfam family "Bacterial small subunit ribosomal RNA", at positions 33 to 943 of the family's 1533-position model. The record is from RNAcentral.
ACGCUAGCUACAGGCUUAACACAUGCAAGUCGAGGGGAAACGGCAUUUAGUGCUUGCACCGAAUGGACGUCGACCGGCGCACGGGUGAGUAACGCGUAUCCAACUUUCCCAUAACUAAGGGAUAACCUGCCGAAAGGCAGACUAAUACCUUAUGUAAUCCUUUGAUGGCAUCAGAUAAGGAUAAAAGAUUUAUCGGUUAUGGAUGGGGAUGCGUCUGAUUAGCUUGUUGGCGGGGUAACGGCCCACCAAGGCAACGAUCAGUAGGGGUUCUGAGAGGAAGGUCCCCCACAUUGGAACUGAGACACGGUCCAAACUCCUACGGGAGGCAGCAGUGAGGAAUAUUGGUCAAUGGACGGAAGUCUGAACCAGCCAAGUAGCGUGCAGGAUGACGGCUCUAUGGGUUGUAAACUGCUUUUGUAUGGGGAUAAAGUCAAUCGCGUGUGAUUGUUUGCAGGUACCAUACGAAUAAGGACCGGCUAAUUCCGUGCCAGCAGCCGCGGUAAUACGGAAGGUUCGGGCGUUAUCCGGAUUUAUUGGGUUUAAAGGGAGCGUAGGCCGGAGAUUAAGUGUGUUGUGAAAUGUAGACGCUCAACGUCUGACUUGCAGCGCAUACCGGUUUCCUUGAGUACGCACAACGUUGGCGGAAUUCGUCGUGUAGCGGUGAAAUGCUUAGAUAUGACGAAGAACUCCGAUUGCGAAGGCAGCUGACGGGAGCGCAACUGACGCUGAAGCUCGAAGGUGCGGGUAUCGAACAGGAUUAGAUACCCUGGUAGUCCGCACAGUAAACGAUGGAUGCCCGCUGUUGGUACCUGGUAUCAGCGGCUAAGCGAAAGCAUUAAGCAUCCCACCUGGGGAGUACGCCGGCAACGGUGAAACUCAAAGGAAUUGACGGGGGCCCGCACAAGCGGAGGAACAUGUG